Molecule: RNA transcript, 2973 nt
Organism: Glycine soja
Lineage: Eukaryota; Viridiplantae; Streptophyta; Magnoliopsida; Fabales; Fabaceae
Gene name: 1,4-dihydroxy-2-naphthoyl-CoA thioesterase 1-like
Exons: 5
Source: RefSeq, a predicted model, not a curated record
AAUAUCUCCAUCAUCUUCUAUGAAUGGCCUAAACUACCCUUCAAAUCAACCACCACCACAACUUUAUUCAAUUCAAUCCAUUCUAAACAACUUUCCUCAUUUACAAAGCCUCCACUUACAAAAAAGAAAAAAAAGCACCAUCAAUAAUCUGUGAACAAGGGAAACCACACACAUAGCUUUAAUUUGAUCUAAUUUCUUCAUGGAGGACCAACCAUUAUCAUCAAAAUCAAAGACUGCUGCUUUGGAUCAAACCCUUCAUUCAAUUGGGUUUGAAAUUGAAGACUUGUCACCACAAAAAAUCUCUGGUCGUCUCCCUGUCACCCAGAAAUGCUGCCAGUUUGAUUUUUGCAUGGGGCAGCCAUUCAAGGUGCUUCAUGGAGGGGUAUCAGCAUUGAUAGCAGAGUCUUUGGCAAGCAUGGGAGCACACAUGGCUUCUGGUUACAAAAGAGUGGCUGGAAUUCAACUAAGCAUCAACCAUUUGAAAAGAGCAGAGAUUGGUGACUUGGUCUACGCGGAAGCUACACCUUUAAAUGUCGGCAAAACCAUUCAGGUGUGGGAGGUGAGACUCUCGAAGAUUGAUGCUUCAAAUUCACAAAACAGAUCCUUGGUUUCAUCUUCUAGGGUAACUCUACUAUCCAACAUGCCCGUCCCAGAUCAUGCAAAAGAUGCUGCCAAACCGCUAAAGAACUUUGCAAAACUCCUUGGAAGAAAAGACAAAACGCAAAUGGAAUCUAAUCCUAACAGAAUUGUGCCACCUCAGCCGACAAGAUGAAAUAAAGGUGGAUUGCUACGUUGCUGGGCACCUUUUUCUGCCAGCUCAUUCCACGAAAUCCCGCAGGUAACAUGGUUUGGAGUCAAGGAGCAUAUGUAGAGGCAGAGGCAGCACGACACAGAGGAAUGAAAUGAGAACUAUAUUUUCUGAUGGUAAAAGGGACAAUGAUUCACUAAGAAAAAUUCAAUUGAAGGAGUUACUUAAUUUAAUCUUAUGCUCUUUCCCUAUAUUUAGGUUCUGUUAUGAAAAAUUUCUCUAUAACUAUUUAUAAAAGAAGAAAAUAAGAAGAAAAGAGAUAAUAAUAUUCUCCAAAAGUUAAAAUUAAUAAAUGCAGAAGUUAAAAAUAAGUUUUUUUUUUUAAAAAAAGCUAAUGCAAGAUAACUUCAACUAGAGUUAGCUUAUGCUUAAGCUAAUUUUAAUUUUGGAGAAGCUUAUUUUAUUUUUUUCUUAGUUUCUUAUAUAAUAUGAAAAACCAAACAAUGAUUUAUUUACUUUGUGCCCCUUUUUUUAUUCAAUGACUUAUUUCCCCAUUUUCAAAUAUUUUUUUCCCAUUUUGGAUAUCUAGCUAUGGUUACAUCGAUUCUAUAUAAGAUUUUCUUACUCAGUUAUGUAUUCCCUCUUCAGCUAUCAGAUACUUGAUAUUGAAAUCUGAUAGAUGAUUUCAAGCAUAAAUAUAGCCAUGUCAUGUCUUAUAUAUAAUUUCUAAAAAUUUUCAUAUCCUGAUAUAUGUUACCAACUAUAAAUGAUUAAAGAAAUAGUGUAGAUUCUAUUGAUGAACAAGGAAAUAACAGGAAAUUGAAAGAUAAUUUGAUAGAAGGACAUCUAUCAGGCAAGCCAAAUGACUCCCCUCGUUACUGAAGACUCACAGUGAUCUCACACUCUCUAUAAUUGAUGAUCCUCUCUUGCCUCCCCCUUAUUAUAUAUAUUAAACUCACUAUGUCAUUCUUUGCCUUAUUUUGUUGCUUAUGUUUCCUAUAGUAUACUUGCCAAACCUUGGGACUAUUUUCCAAAUUUUGUAUCUGCUGGACCAAGUCUUCUGCUCGAUUUCUAUCAAUACCACCCAUAUAACAACAACCUUGUCCUCAAGGUUGAAAUUUGGGAAUUGGCUUUGGAUGAAAAUAUCAUUUUUCCAAGUCACAUUCUCAACUAGACUUUCCUUCCACUUGAUCAAGCCUUGCCAGGCUGUAGCACCCAUUUUGUGACACUUCUUUGGCCUAAAACGGCCUCUGGUUCAAUGUCAGUAUUAGUUGGAAUUACCUUAACUUAGCCUUUCUUAAUUGUAAGACGUGAAAAAUUGGAUGGAUUGAAGACUAUGAUGGAAGUUGGAAUUUGUAAGCAACUUCCCCACUUAAGUAUUUUGUCAGUCAUAAUGCUUUCCUUGCUCAAUUCUUUUCUGCAUUUUGAUCAAUGAAGUAGAGUUAAACUGAUUUAUGGUGGGUUGCAUUUUCUGAGUGGUGUUGGUUAUCUAUGGUGACAGUAAUUCAGUGGAUAAAUUUUAUAGAAGUAACUCAAGUAAGCAUAUGUAUGUAAUCACUGCAUGUAACUCUACUCCAAUAAUUCAAAACACCAAAUAAGUUUAACUCUACUUUAGUAAUUCACUGCAUAUAUAUGCUCAUCUAUGUUUGUCAUCUUUCUGCGGUUUGGUAUUUGGUUGUUUUAAGUCUUCUUUUAUAGAAGUAAGGAUAUAUAAUUUAUUUAAUUUGCACUGUCUGGAUUUCCAUGUCUAUCAAACAAUUUCUUGGCAAAAGUAACAUUAAUUGAAGAUAUACAACAGCUGCUAUUUUAUAACUCAAAAAAUGGAAUACAACAAUUCUUAAACUUUCAGUUCAUCCUCAUAAACAAUAGUUUAAUAUGAUAUUCUGAUGAGAAUCAAAUAAGAAACAAUGAUAUUGAAGCAAUAAAAGGAUUUGGUGGGCCAAUGACAAGGGUGCGUGAUAAGAAAACAAAGGAAGCCUUGAACGAAAUGGUGGCAAUUGUCACUGAAGCAGAUUCACAUCUAGAAGGAUUAAGUCAAUCAACUACAUAAAGCAACUAGAGGAAUGAAGAUGAUGGACUGAUUUGGAUGAUGACCCAUGAAGAUAUAAUAUCUAGUUUUGUUUUAUAUUAAACAAAGAUGUAAUUAGAUGCUUGGGUUGUUGCUGUGUUGAGUCUUUUGACUGGAUUACAUGUUAAUUAAUAAAGUCACUAACUUGACAUAAUUA